RNAcentral lists this ribosomal RNA (1003 nucleotides) under uncultured bacterium. Its description in RNAcentral is "bacterial SSU rRNA". It matches the Rfam family "Bacterial small subunit ribosomal RNA", at positions 355 to 1375 of the family's 1533-position model. The record is from RNAcentral.
UGGGGAAUAUUGCACAAUGGGGGAAACCCUGAUGCAGCGAUGCCGCGUGAAGGAAGAAGAUUUUCGGAUUGUAAACUUCUAUCAGCAAGGAAGAAAACGGACAGUACUUGACUAAGAAGCCCCGGCUAACUACGUGCCAGCAGCCGCGGUAAUACGUAGGGGGCAAGCGUUAUCCGGAAUUACUGGGUGUAAAGGGUGCGUAGGCGGUAUGGCAAGUUUGAUGUGAAACCCACAGGCUUAACCUGUGGCUUGCAUCGAAAACUACUGAACUAGAGUGCAGGAGAGGAAAGCGGAAUUCCUAGUGUAGCGGUGAAAUGCGUAGAUAUUAGGAAGAACACCAGUGGCGAAGGCGGCUUUCUGGACUGCAACUGACGCUGAGGCACGAAAGCGUGGGGAGCAAACAGGAUUAGAUACCCUGGUAGUCCACGCUGUAAACGAUGAAUACUAGGUGUUGGGGCCGUUAGGCCUCGGUGCCGCAGUUAACGCAAUAAGUAUUCCACCUGGGGAGUACGACCGCAAGGUUGAAACUCAAAGGAAUUGACGGGGGCCCGCACAAGCGGUGGAGCAUGUGGAUUAAUUCGACGCAACGCGAAGAACCUUACCAGGUCUUGACAUCCCUCUGAAUACAGUAGAGAUACGGUAGGCCUUCGGGACAGAGGAGACAGGUGGUGCAUGGUUGUCGUCAGCUCGUGUCGUGAGAUGUUGGGUUAAGUCCCGCAACGAGCGCAACCCUUAUUGACAGUAGCCAGCAGGUAAGGCUGGGCACUCUGUUAAGACUGCCGGGGAUAACUCGGAGGAAGGUGGGGAUGACGUCAAAUCAUCAUGCCCCUUAUGACCUGGGCUUCACACGUGCUACAAUGGCUGUCACAAAGAGAAGCGAAGCUGCGAAGCGGAGCAAAGCUCAAAAAGGCAGUCCCAGUUCGGAUUGCAGGCUGCAACCCGCCUGCAUGAAGCUGGAAUCGCUAGUAAUCGCGAAUCAGCAUGUCGCGGUGAAUACGUUCCC